RNAcentral lists this ribosomal RNA (395 nucleotides) under Craniata sp. RNAcentral's name for it is "partial small subunit ribosomal RNA". It matches the Rfam family "Eukaryotic small subunit ribosomal RNA", at positions 582 to 975 of the family's 1831-position model. The record is from RNAcentral. Lineage: Eukaryota; Metazoa; Chordata.
AUUCCAGCUCCAAUAGCGUAUAUUAAAGUUGCUGCAGUUAAAAAGCUCGUAGUUGGAUCUUGGGAGCGGGCGGGCGGUCCGCCGCGAGGCGAGCCACCGCCCGUCCCCGCCCCUUGCCUCUCGGCGCCCCCUCGAUGCUCUUAGCUGUGUGUCCCGCGGGGCCCGAAGCGUUUACUUUGAAAAAAUUAGAGUGUUCAAAGCAGGCCCGAGCCGCCUGGAUACCGCAGCUAGGAAUAAUGGAAUAGGACCGCGGUUCUAUUUUGUUGGUUUUCGGAACUGAGGCCAUGAUUAAGAGGGACGGCCGGGGGCAUUCGUAUUGCGCCGCUAGAGGUGAAAUUCUUGGACCGGCGCAAGACGGACCAGAGCGAAAGCAUUUGCCAAGAAUGUUUUCAUCA